CCUAUCCUUAGUCUCUUCCUUGUUUUCAACGUUGCUGUCAUUAAUAACGUCAAAAUAUUUCUUGCUGCCAAAUACGGGCUUUUUUGAUGCUGGACGUUCAGCAUUUCUUACAUUAUUCUUUGAUGUGGACAUUGUAGAUGGUGAUUGCACAUCCAUAACACCAGCAUUGGACUUAGUGGCUCUUCCAGUAAAUGCAAACUGUGUUCUUCGUUUAAAAUUAUUUUUCCUCAGACUCUCGUUCUCGGUAUCCUUCCUCGUUGAUCUGGCAUCGAUUAUUUGUGUUCUGUUACGCGGAGUGCGAAGUGGGGAUUUUUCUUUUAGCUGAACACGCCGUUUAUCCCUUUUCUCAAAAGAAGAACUCUUUUUCUUUUUCUCUUCCAUUGUUUCUUUAAUGGAAGAAAGCAAUGAAUCGAAAGAUCGUCCACCAAAAAUCAAUUCAGAGCCUUCGGAUCGUAAAGCUGGUUGGGUAGAAAAUUGAUGGAUAUUAAAUCUAAUGCUUUGGAAAU
This is a non-coding RNA of Schizosaccharomyces pombe (fission yeast), 506 nucleotides long. Lineage: Eukaryota; Fungi; Ascomycota; Schizosaccharomycetes; Schizosaccharomycetales; Schizosaccharomycetaceae. The record is from the annotation of a GenBank genome assembly.